Molecule: non-coding RNA, 309 nt
Organism: Pantherophis guttatus
Lineage: Eukaryota; Metazoa; Chordata; Lepidosauria; Squamata; Colubridae
Source: RefSeq, a predicted model, not a curated record
UAAGUCUCUUUGUUCAUUGCCGCUCUAACUUUGAUUAUUGAACAAAUAAUCAUUAAGUCAAGUGCUACCUGUAUGUAAAGAAUCAGAACUCUGGGGCCAGGAUCAAUUGCUUUGAAGCUAACGCCUGCAAAAGCAAACUGGUACAAGAAAAACUAAGCAUCCUUAUAACUAUUAUCCAAUCUAUCCAAUUAAGAUAAGAGAAGUAGGAAAAUGCCCAUAGAAACUUAACUUUAUGUGCAAGGAAACAAAAUGCACACUGGGACAAAAAUGCUGAUUAUACCCAUACUUUAAAGUAGAACUGAACUUCAA